AGUGAACGCUGGCGAUAGGCCUAACACAUGCAAGUCGAACGGCAGCACAGUAAGAGCUUGCUCUUACGGGUGGCGAGUGGCGGACGGGUGAGGAAUACAUCGGAAUCUACUUUUUCGUAGGGGAUAACGUAGGGAAACUUACGCUAAUACCGCAUACGACCUACGGGUGAAAGCAGGGGAUCUUCGGACCUUGCGCGAUUGAAUGAGCCGAUGUCGGAUUAGCUAGUUGGCGGGGUAAAGGCCCACCAAGGCGACGAUCCGUAGCUGGUCUGAGAGGAUGAUCAGCCACACUGGAACUGAGACACGGUCCAGACUCCUACGGGAGGCAGCAGUGGGGAAUAUUGGACAAUGGGCGCAAGCCUGAUCCAGCCAUACCGCGUGGGUGAAGAAGGCCUUCGGGUUGUAAAGCCCUUUUGUUGGGAAAGAAAAGCAGCAGGUUAAUACCCCGCUGUUCUGACGGUACCCAAAGAAUAAGCACCGGCUAACUUCGUG
RNAcentral lists this ribosomal RNA (492 nucleotides) under uncultured bacterium. RNAcentral describes it as "partial 16S ribosomal RNA". It matches the Rfam family "Bacterial small subunit ribosomal RNA", at positions 29 to 507 of the family's 1533-position model. The record is from RNAcentral.